AGUGAACACUGGCGGUAGGCCUAACACAUGCAAGUCGAACGGCAGCACAGUAAGAGCUUGCUCUUACGGGUGGCGAGUGGCGGACGGGUGAGGAAUACAUCGGAAUCUACUUUUUCGUGGGGGAUAACGUAGGGAAACUUACGCUAAUACCUCAUACGACCUACGGGUUAAAGCAGGAGAUCUUCGGACCUUGCGCGAUUGUAUUAGCCGAUGUCGGAUUAGCUAGUUGGCUGGGUAAAGGACCACCAAGGCAACGAUCCGUAGCUGGUCUGAGAGGAUGAUCAGCCACACUGGAACUGAGACACGGUCCAGACUCCUACGGGAGGCAGCAGUGGGGAAUAUUGGACAAUGGGCGAAAGCCUGAUCCAGCCAUACCGCGUGGGUGAAGAAGGCCUUCGGGUUGUAAAGCCCUGUUGUUGGGAAAGAAAAGCAGCAGGUUAAUAUCCCGAUGUUCUGACGGUACCCAAAGAAUAAGCACCGGCUAACUUCGUG
This 492-nucleotide ribosomal RNA is filed under the name uncultured bacterium. RNAcentral's name for it is "partial 16S ribosomal RNA". It matches the Rfam family "Bacterial small subunit ribosomal RNA", at positions 29 to 507 of the family's 1533-position model. The record is from RNAcentral.